AGUGAACGCUGGCGGUAGGCCUAACACAUGCAAGUCGAACGGCAGCACAGUAAGAGCUUGCUCUUACGGGUGGCGAGUGGCGGACGGGUGAGGAAUACAUCGGAAUCUACUUUUUCGUGGGGGAUAACGUAGGGAAACUUACGCUAAUACCGCAUACGACCUACGGGUGAAAGCAGGGGAUCUUCGGACCUUGCGCGAUUGAAUGAGCCGAUGUCGGAUUAGCUAGUUGGCGGGGUAACGGCCCACCAAGGCGACGAUCCGUAGCUGGUCUGAGAGGAUGAUCAGCCACACUGGAACUGAGACACGGUCCAGACUCCUACGGGAGGCAGCAGUGGGGAAUAUUGGACAAUGGGCGCAAGCCUGAUCCAGCCAUACCGCGUGGGUGAAGAAGGCCUUCGGGUUGUAAAGCCCUUUUGUUGGGAAAGAAAAGCAGCAGGUUAAUACCCCGCUGUUCUGACGGUACCCAAAGAAUAAGCACCGGCUAACUUCGUG
Molecule: ribosomal RNA, 492 nt
Filed under: uncultured bacterium
Lineage: Bacteria
Description: partial 16S ribosomal RNA
Rfam family: Bacterial small subunit ribosomal RNA
Source: RNAcentral